This 38-nucleotide ribosomal RNA is filed under the name Morus alba (white mulberry). RNAcentral's name for it is "partial 26S ribosomal RNA". The record is from RNAcentral. Lineage: Eukaryota; Viridiplantae; Streptophyta; Magnoliopsida; Rosales; Moraceae.
GUGACCCCAGGUCAGGCGGGGCUACCCGCUGAGUUUAA